RNAcentral lists this ribosomal RNA (378 nucleotides) under Elasmopoda alata. RNAcentral's name for it is "partial small subunit ribosomal RNA". Lineage: Eukaryota; Metazoa; Arthropoda; Insecta; Hemiptera; Coreidae. The record is from RNAcentral.
UCUGUAAAAAAGUUGAUUUUAGAUUGAUCCUGUCUUAAUUUUUUAUUGUUUGAUUAGUUGAUUUAUAAUAUUAAAUAUAAGUUUUUGCUUGAUAUCUCUAUUUUCUUAAUGAUCAUUGAGUUGUUUAUUUUUAGUUUUUAUUUUUGGGUAUCAAAUAACUUUGUACCCAGUUAAUUUUUUAUAGGACUGUUUAAUUUUGUGCCAGCAAACGCGGUUAUACAAUUAGUUCAAAUUAAUUUUUUUGGUUAUUUAUUUAUUUAUAUUUUUGAGAAUUUAAUUUUGUUUUUAAGGUGAAAUUUUAAUUAUGAAUAUAUUUUUUGGGUUUAAUAUUAUAAUAAGGUUAGAGUUGAAACUAGGAUUAGAUACCCUAUUAUUCUA